UACGUAGAGUGCGAGCGUUAAUCGGAAUUACUGGGCGUAAAGCGUGCGCAGGCGGUUUUGUAAGCCAGGUGUGAAAUCCCCGGGCUCAACCUGGGAAUGGCAUUUGGGACUGCAAGGCUGGAGUGCGGCAGAGGAGACUGGAAUUCCUGGUGUAGCAGUGAAAUGCGUAGAUAUCAGGAGGAACACCGAUGGCGAAGGCAGGUCUCUGGGCUGACACUGACGCUCAUGCACGAAAGCGUGGGGAGCAAACAGG
Molecule: ribosomal RNA, 253 nt
Filed under: uncultured bacterium
Lineage: Bacteria
Description: partial 16S ribosomal RNA
Rfam family: Bacterial small subunit ribosomal RNA
Source: RNAcentral